UCAAAGGUCUCUUUAGAGACCCCCAAGGGUAAAUGUAAUCUUUACU
This is a non-coding RNA of Cariama cristata (Red-legged seriema), 46 nucleotides long. Lineage: Eukaryota; Metazoa; Chordata; Aves; Cariamiformes; Cariamidae. The record is from Rfam.